GACGAACGCUGGCGGCGUGCUUAACACAUGCAGGUCGAACGAUGAAGCCGGAGCUUGCUCUGGUGAAUUAGUGGCGAACGGGUGAGUAACACGUGAGUAACCUGCCCUUGACUCUGGGAUAACUGCGGGAAACUGUAGCUAAUACCGGAUACGACCCUCGGAGGCAUCUCCUGGGGGUGGAAAGAAUUUCGGUCAAGGAUGGACUCGCGGCCUAUCAGCUAGUUGGUGAGGUAAAGGCUCACCAAGGCGACGACGGGUAGCCGGCCUGAGAGGGUGACCGGCGACACUGGGACUGAGCCACGGCCCAGACUCCUACGGGAGGCAGCAGUGGAGAAUAUUGCACAUUGGGCGCAAGCGUGAUGCAGCAACGCAGCGUGAGGGAUGACGGCCUUCGGGUUGUAAACCUCUUUUAGCAGGGAAGAAGCGAAAGUGACGGUACCUGCAGAAAAAGCACCGGCUAACUACGUGCCAGCAGCCGCCGUAA
Molecule: ribosomal RNA, 484 nt
Filed under: uncultured bacterium
Lineage: Bacteria
Description: partial 16S ribosomal RNA
Rfam family: Bacterial small subunit ribosomal RNA
Source: RNAcentral